AUGGCCCAUACUGCCUCUUACAAGAAAGUCAAGGCAUUCUCUCCGUCUGACCUCGAUGAUGCAAACAACUUCACCAACAUCUCCUCCCACGACAAGCUCGUGAAAUAUAGAGAUCAAGGGAAGGCGAGGAAAGGGGAGGACUUUAACCCGAGCCAGGGUCCCAUUGAUCCAGAGCUGGUGAUGAUAGCUGGUGGCGGGAGGUCCCAUGGCUCGAUAGCCAUUGGAGAUGGACUUGUCCAUUGUCCUAGCACUCUCCCGGAGAUCAAGGCGCGCCAGUCGAGAUCCGUUCCUGAGAUAAGGCCUCGUGAACGGCCAGUCCAAGUCGCCUUCAAGGCUGCUAUACAGAGUGAGAGAGAUAGAACGGAGAAACUUCUGUCGGAGGCGGCGGAGAGGCAGCGGGAGUUGGAGGAGAGGACGACAAAGAUGUUGGAGGAGAGGGCACGGAAUUACAUGCAGACAAGGGCAAUGUACGAGCUCCUUGUGUCUGUGUGCGAGAAGUCCAGUUAG
Molecule: ribosomal RNA, 507 nt
Filed under: Triticum aestivum (bread wheat)
Lineage: Eukaryota; Viridiplantae; Streptophyta; Magnoliopsida; Poales; Poaceae
Description: partial small subunit ribosomal RNA
Source: RNAcentral